UUAUGAAAACAAUUCAUACCAAUGUAGCGUUCACCCCUGUAAACAAUUUGCAUGAUGAUGUACAAGUGAAGGAGAUCCACAUUUCAAACAAGCGCAUUAGUUUGCACAAUUCCUCACCUCAGUUACCUUUGCCCUUUUCUUCAAAUGGAGGCACAGUAACAGGAGAAAGAUGAUUAAGGAGUUGGGCAAACCAAAUUAUGAUCUCCCUAUCUAGCUUGUUGAGGGGUCGGGGCAUCUGAUCAAGGCCGGCUACCGCUGCAGCAGAGGCACGGGAGCCGGCGGCCGCUUCUGCUGAGGUAUGGUUGGCAGUUGCUCCAGCUGAGGCGCGGGGGCCAGCUGCUUCUGCUGAGGCAUGGCUGGCAGUUGCUCCAGCUGAGGCGCGGGCCACUUCCAUAGAGGCAUGGUUGGCAGUUGCUUCAGCUGAGGCGCGGGCCGCUUCCGCAGAGGCUCGGGGGCCGGGGGCCGCUUCUGCUGAGGCAUGGUUGGCAGUUGCUCCAGCUGAGGCGCGGGGGCCAGCCGCUUCUGCUGAGGCAUGGUUGGCAGUUGCUCCAGCUGAGGCGCGGGGGCCAGCCGCUUCUGCUGAGGCAUGGUUGGCAGUUGCUCCAGCUGAGGCGCGGGGGCCAGCCGCUUCUGCUGAGGCAUGGCUGGCAGUUGCUCCAGCUGAGGCGCGGGCCACUUCCAUAGAGGUAUGGUUGGCAGUUGCUUCAGCUGAGGUGCGGGCCGCUUCUUGGUUGGCAGUUGCUCCAGCUGAGGCGCGGGGCCAGCCGCUUCUGCAGAGCUAUGGUUGGCAGUUGCUCCAGCUGAGGCGCGGGCCGCUUCUGCUGAGGCAUGGUUGGCAGUUGCUUCAGCUGAGGUGUGGGCCGCUUCUUGGUUGGCAGUUGCUCCAGCUGAGGCGCGGGGGCCAGCCGCUUCUGCAGAGCUAUGGUUGGCAGUUGCUACAGCUGAGGCGCGGGCCGCUUCCGCAGAGGCUCGGGGGCCGGCGGCCGCUUCUGCUGAGGCAUGGUUGGCAGUUGCUCCAGCUGAAGCGCAGGGGCCAGCCGCUUCUGCUGAGGCAUGGUUGGCAGUUGCUCCAGCUGAGGCGCUGGGGCCAGCCGCUUCUGCUGAGGCAUGGUUGGCAGUUGCUACAGCUGAGGCAUUUGUCCCGGCGUCACACUUGCCAGAGUAUUGGUGCCAGUAGCUUUAGCAUUUGGAACAGACACCACACUUGCUUGGGAUCCAGAUGGUUCAGGUCCAGUGCAUGCAGGAUGCCCAUAAGCAUCACCUAGGAAACAAAACAUUAUGGUAAAACGCCAGCCUUAAGCUAUUGGAACUAG
This is a long non-coding RNA of Oncorhynchus tshawytscha (Chinook salmon), 1313 nucleotides long. Lineage: Eukaryota; Metazoa; Chordata; Actinopteri; Salmoniformes; Salmonidae. The record is from Ensembl.